Non-coding RNA from Phalacrocorax carbo (great cormorant), 1205 nucleotides. The record is from RefSeq and is a predicted model, not a curated record. NCBI's taxonomy places the organism in Eukaryota, Metazoa, Chordata, Aves, Suliformes, Phalacrocoracidae.
ACUGUACCUUCUGAAUGGUGUUCGGGGAAUUGAGAGUGUUCAACAUCAUUUGCAGUAAAUCAGUGGGAUCUGAAGGACUGAGCCUCAGCCCUGAGUUCUGGACUUGCCAUUACCAAUCUCUCUAGGUCAUGUCUGCGCUCAGAUUUACACUGAUCUUCCAGUCUAUCAGGUACAGAGUACUUCAUUAUGGGCACGAACAGAAAUGCUUAAAUGGAUGAAGCAGCUAUUUACGUCUGAUAGGAGCUAAGUGGGACAUUAAAUUAAUGCCAAACAAAUUUUGUCACACUGAGUUACUUAUUCAUCUGGAGCAAGGCCAGGAAAAUAAGACCUGAACCUCUUUAAUCGUAGCCAUGAAACAAAUGUUUCAAGAGUCGAGAACGCCGCUCCAGCUGUGGGUGUCUGUGUGUGCGUAUAUCCAUGUGCCAUCCACUGGACUGUGACAGGCAAGCAGGACACAAACAUGGGUGAAAACAAUACCUUUGAUUUCUGAUCUGAGAGAUUCUCUGUGCCAGCAAAAAUACUGGCAAAGAGCAUCCAAAACCUUGGGUUAGUCCCUGUUGUAGAAUGAUAUUUGUUCUUGCACAGAAAAGAGAAUUCUUCCUAAUUUCUCAAAAUGCAAAAUAUAGAUGAUCACAGCCACCAUUAUUAGGAUCUGUUCAGGAGUUUUGACCUUUGUUGUUGUUGUUUGUAUUUUACUUGUGAAUAUUAAAGCCACUUUUUUUUGGUGAAAAACCUAUGAAGAAUAUUCUUAGAAUCACAAAUCUAAGUUGUGGGAGUUGGGAACUUCUAAUCAUUUGCAUUUUAAGUAGCCAAGGUUACUUCACCAUUGCUGUGCAGUUCAUAAGGUAUACCUGCAUGCCACUUUGAUGAGUACUGCAAGGUUAAGAAAUACCCUGCAGGAAUUAAAAGGCUUGUCUUUUUUCAAAAUGUGUCAGUGAUUAUGGACUGCUUCAUUGCCUAUGAAAUAAAUAUGAAAAAAGGAAAUUUGUAUGAAAUAAAAGUAAAAAUUUGCGUGAGAUAGAAGUAAAAAAAUGCAUGAAACAUAAGUAAAUACAAUGAUCUAAUGACUUGACAGGCAAGCAUGAAGUGGUAAUUGGAGAACUGAGUCUGAACUUGCUUGACAUCUAACUUGAAACAAAAAUGUGUUUUGGAAAAGUCUUCCUGCUGCCAGGAAGUCCAGCUACCGGGGAAGCCGAUUCCUGUAG